GAUGACAAAGAGAGACAACACUUAAGGUGCAAACUCCAUGAAAAGUUUGAUAUUCACCAAUGGAUUUAGGCAUAGAACAUGCCAAGAUCAACUCAAUUUUUCCUUGCUUAACCUGCAUAAAAGUAGAAACACUAAACAAAGUAGAGUCAAGAUCGUUAGAAAAAAACAUAUGAUCUCACAUCCUUUCUCACAAUCAGCUUACUCUUAGAAUUUUUAAUCUCUUUUUCAUGCUCAGUAGCUGACUUUUUUCCCUC
RNAcentral lists this long non-coding RNA (254 nucleotides) under Coffea arabica (coffee). RNAcentral describes it as "long non-coding RNA (CARA_LNC005580)". Lineage: Eukaryota; Viridiplantae; Streptophyta; Magnoliopsida; Gentianales; Rubiaceae. The record is from RNAcentral.